Molecule: ribosomal RNA, 976 nt
Filed under: Salmonella enterica
Lineage: Bacteria; Pseudomonadati; Pseudomonadota; Gammaproteobacteria; Enterobacterales; Enterobacteriaceae
Description: partial 23S ribosomal RNA
Rfam family: Bacterial large subunit ribosomal RNA
Source: RNAcentral
AAUCCAUAGGUUAAUGAGGCGAACCGGGGGAACUGAAACAUCUAAGUACCCCGAGGAAAAGAAAUCAACCGAGAUUCCCCCAGUAGCGGCGAGCGAACGGGGAGGAGCCCAGAGCCUGAAUCAGCAUGUGUGUUAGUGGAAGCGUCUGGAAAGGCGCGCGAUACAGGGUGACAGCCCCGUACACAAAAGCGCAUGUGCUGUGAGCUCGAUGAGUAGGGCGGGACACGUGGUAUCCUGUCUGAAUAUGGGGGGACCAUCCUCCAAGGCUAAAUACUCCUGACUGACCGAUAGUGAACCAGUACCGUGAGGGAAAGGCGAAAAGAACCCCGGCGAGGGGAGUGAAAAAGAACCUGAAACCGUGUACGUACAAGCAGUGGGAGCACCCUUCGGGGUGUGACUGCGUACCUUUUGUAUAAUGGGUCAGCGACUUAUAUUCUGUAGCAAGGUUAACCGUAUAGGGGAGCCGGAGGGAAACCGAGUCUUAAUUGGGCGUUAAGUUGCAGGGUAUAGACCCGAAACCCGGUGAUCUAGCCAUGGGCAGGUUGAAGGUUGGGUAACACUAACUGGAGGACCGAACCGACUAAUGUUGAAAAAUUAGCGGAUGACCUGUGGCUGGGGGUGAAAGGCCAAUCAAACCGGGAGAUAGCUGGUUCUCCCCGAAAGCUAUUUAGGUAGCGCCUCGUGAAUUCAUCUCCGGGGGUAGAGCACUGUUUCGGCUAGGGGGCCAUCCCGGCUUACCAACCCGAUGCAAACUGCGAAUACCGGAGAAUGUUAUCACGGGAGACACACGGCGGGUGCUAACGUCCGUCGUGAAGAGGGAAACAACCCAGACCGCCAGCUAAGGUCCCAAAGUCAUGGUUAAGUGGGAAACGAUGUGGGAAGGCCCAGACAGCCAGGAUGUUGGCUUAGAAGCAGCCAUCAUUUAAAGAAAGCGUAAUAGCUCACUGGUCGAGUCGGCCUGCGCGGAAGAUGUAAC